UCGCUUCGGGAGGGUCUCGCGGCCCAUCAGCUAGUUGGUAAGGUAACGGCCUACCAAGGCGACGACGGGUAGGGGGCCUGAGAGGGUGAUCCCCCACACUGGCACUGAAACACGGGCCAGACACCUACGGGUGGCAGCAGUAGGGAAUCAUGUGCAAUGGGCGCGAGCCUGACACUGCAACGCCGCGUGCCCGAAGAAGGCCUUCGGGUCGUAAAGGGCUUUUCUGGAGGAAGAGAACGGACGGUACUCCAGGAAUAAGGAUCGGCUAACUACGUGCCAGCAGCCGCGGUAACACGUAGGAUCCGAGCGUUAUCCGAAUUUACUGGGCGUAAAGCGCGUGCAGGCGGCUGGGUAAGUUGGGCGUGAAAUCUCCCGGCUCAACUGGGAGAGGUCGUCCAAAACUACCUGGCUAGAGGGCAGUAGAGGGAGGUGGAAUUCCCGGUGUAGUGGUGAAAUGCGUAGAUAUCGGGAGGAACACCAGUGGCGAAAGCGGCCUCCUGGACUGUACCUGACGCUCAGACGCGAAAGCUAGGGGAGCGAACGGGAUUAGAUACCCCGGUAGUCCUAGCUGUAAACGAUGUGAACUAGGCGUGGGUGGGGUAAAAGCCAUCCGUGCCGCAGCCAACGCGCUAAGUUCACCGCCUGGGGACUACGGCCGCAAGGUUAAAACUCAAGGAAUUGGCGGGGGCCCGCACAAGCAGCGGAGCGUGUGGUUUAAUUCGAUGCUACGCGAAGAACCUUACCCGGUCUUGACAUGCANUAGUAGGGAAGCGAAAGUGGACCGACCUUCGGGAGCCUGCACAGGUGCUGCAUGGCUGUCGUCAGCUCGUGUCGUGAGA
Molecule: ribosomal RNA, 839 nt
Filed under: uncultured bacterium
Lineage: Bacteria
Description: bacterial SSU rRNA
Rfam family: Bacterial small subunit ribosomal RNA
Source: RNAcentral